Molecule: long non-coding RNA, 1071 nt
Organism: Lates calcarifer (barramundi perch)
Lineage: Eukaryota; Metazoa; Chordata; Actinopteri; Centropomidae
Exons: 4
Source: RefSeq, a predicted model, not a curated record
UAACGCCCGCGUUUUCAUGGACACCGCACCAGUCCAGCUAAUACUAUAACACAGUUAGGAGGUAGCAUGCUAGCUAGCUAAUUCUUGUCUCAUUGCGUGGUCUGAUAAACAGUAAAUUCAUCAAAUUCAGCGCCGCCGAAUCCUGUUUUCCAAGCUACUGUAGCUGUUACGCUUUGUGGUUUCUAUGGAAACACAGCCGUCGUUUCCUUGAGUCGUUAGUUAUACGAAAGUGGGCGAAGUUUCAUCUAAGCAGGGUUGUAUAAUCAAAGAGGCGUGCAUUAUUUAUUUAUUUAAAGUUUCCUUGACAUAGUGGUUGAAAACAACUACUUUACCUUCCUUUGUGGCAAAAAAAACAAAAACAAAAAAUGUCUGCCACGCGCCAUAUAUUCUGGCAAGGACGACAAAAUGGCGGCCAAAUUGGAAUUGAAGUGGGAGUUACGAGUGGAGUGUGGCGACAGGUGGGCAAGACAGAAGAUUCCACGGGACUGAGCAGACUGGACGACAGACGACUCAGCUAACACCAGAAGAUGGCGGCGGUGGAACAUUUGGGGUGCUAGCUGCCGUUAAAACCCGAAGAAUGGUCGUUGUCGCCUCCCUCCGCACUGUUUACACCUGUGUAAGAGUUGUCCGUGAUUGAUGUGGAGCUACCGCCACCGUUGGACUGCAGCUCGCCCACAUGGUCUCUGGAUAGUUCUGGAACUCAUUGUUCCUCGCCUUCAUCGCAGGCCAGACAGGCUAUCGUCCACCCAUGAUGUGAAGGCAGCGUAUGAACAUCAGAGGUUCACAAAGUCCAGACUGACAACAGCUGAUUCAAGCCUGACAAGCAGAGUCUGAAAUAUCAUAAAAUGGCCACCGACUGAGACCCUUUGGAUGUAGGUGACAACAUGAUCCUUCCCCUGGUGUCACCCCUCAGGACAAACCUUCCUGCCUCUCCGAUGGAACAACAAAGCUGCAGCCAGAAUCUACAUACAGCUCAGACUUCCCUCUUCUCUCUGAUGAGAACACUCCCGCCGGGUCGGAGCUGCUGCUCGAGAGGCUGCUGCAGGGAGACCGACGCAACACGAGACGCAU